GACGAACGCUGGCGGCGUGCUUAACACAUGCAAGUCGAACGGAAAGGCCCUGCUUUUGUGGGGUGCUCGAGUGGCGAACGGGUGAGUAACACGUGAGUAACCUGCCCUUGACUUUGGGAUAACUUCAGGAAACUGGGGCUAAUACCGGAUAGGAGCUCCUGCUGCAUGGUGGGGGUUGGAAAGUUUCGGCGGUUGGGGAUGGACUCGCGGCUUAUCAGCUUGUUGGUGGGGUAGUGGCUUACCAAGGCUUUGACGGGUAGCCGGCCUGAGAGGGUGACCGGCCACAUUGGGACUGAGCUACGGCCCAGCCUCCUACGGGAGGCAGCAGUGGGGAAUAUUGCACAGUGGGCGGAAGCCUGAUGCAGCAACGCCGCGUGCGGGAUGACGGCCUUCGGGUUGUAAACCGCUUUCGCCUGUGACGAAGCGUGAGUGACGGUAAUGGGUAAAGAAGCACCGGCUAACUACGUG
This 468-nucleotide ribosomal RNA is filed under the name uncultured bacterium. RNAcentral's name for it is "partial 16S ribosomal RNA". It matches the Rfam family "Bacterial small subunit ribosomal RNA", at positions 28 to 507 of the family's 1533-position model. The record is from RNAcentral.